Molecule: ribosomal RNA, 456 nt
Filed under: Neisseria pharyngis
Lineage: Bacteria; Pseudomonadati; Pseudomonadota; Betaproteobacteria; Neisseriales; Neisseriaceae
Description: bacterial SSU rRNA
Rfam family: Bacterial small subunit ribosomal RNA
Source: RNAcentral
AUUGAACGCGGGCGCCAUGCUUUACACAUGCAAGUCGGACGGCAGCACAGAGAAGCUUGCUUCUUGGGUGGCGAGUGGCGAACGGGUGAGUAACAUAUCGGAACGUACCGAGCAGUGGGGGAUAACUAAUCGAAAGAUUAGCUAAUACCGCAUAUUUUCUGAGGAAGAAAGCAGGGGACCAUUUGGCCUUGCGCUGUUUGAGCGGCCGAUAUCUGAUAGCUAGUUGGUGGGGUAAAGGCCUACCAAGGCGACGAUCAGUAGCGGGUCUGAGAGGAUGAUCCGCCACACUGGGACUGAGACACGGCCCAGACUCCUACGGGAGGCAGCAGUGGGGAAUUUUGGACAAUGGGCGCAAGCCUGAUCCAGCCAUGCCGCGUGUCUGAAGAAGGCCUUCGGGUUGUAAAGGACUUUUGUCAGGGAAGAAAAGGACAGGGAUAAUACCCCUGUCUGAUGACG